UGACAACUUCCUGGAGUU
Molecule: non-coding RNA, 18 nt
Filed under: Mus musculus (house mouse)
Lineage: Eukaryota; Metazoa; Chordata; Mammalia; Rodentia; Muridae
Source: RNAcentral